CUCGCAAGGUAGACGAUGGGUCCGGUUUUGGACAGGGGAAGGGUUGGGACUCAGGUCUCUGACCGACCUUAUCCUGUUUCGUCGCACCCCAUAACUCCUAUGUACUUACUUACCCAUUGCAACCUACCCAUGUUCCCCUCCCCCUCUUUUAAUCUCUUCAUCCGGAAUCAUCAUGUCAUCUUAUUUCUUUCCCUCCCUUCUGCAGCAAAACACAAGCAGAAGAAGAAAGGAGGCUUACGGAACAGAGAAAAAAGAAGAGGCUCGGAUCGAUCGGGUUGGGCGGCGGCAGAGGAAGAAGAGAAGAUGAUGUCCAGAUCGUAUACCAACCUACUCGAUCUGGCGUCCGGGAACUUCUCGGCGCUGAGCCUGGGCGGGGGGCGGGCGCCGCGGCGACUGCCGCGAGUGAUGACGGUGCCGGGCACGCUGGCGGACCUGCAGGAGGAGGAGGAGCGCGCCAACAGCGUGGCGUCGGACGUGCAGUCGUCGCAGGCGCAGGACCGCAUCAUCAUCGUGGCCAACCAAUUACCGGUGCGCGCCCGCCGCCGGCCCGAUGAUCGCGGCUGGACUUUCGCCUGGGACGACGACUCUCUCAUCCUCCAGCUCAAGGAUGGCCUCCCCGAUGAUAUGGAGGUCCUCUACGUCGGUUCCCUACGCGUCGACGUCGAGGCUCACGAACAGGACGACGUCGCCCAGGCGCUGCUCGAGCGGUUCCAGUGCGUCCCCACCUUCCUGCCCCCGGACCUCCACGAGCGAUUCUACCAUGGCUUCUGUAAGAACAACCUCUGGCCCCUGUUCCACUACAUGCUUCCCUUCUCCGCCGAUCAUGGCGGCUCCGGAAGCCGCUUCGACCGCUCCUUGUGGGAGUCGUACGUGCUCGCCAACAAGCUCUUCUCCCAGAAGGUCAUCGAGGUGAUCAACCCGGAGGACGACUACGUCUGGAUCCACGACUAUCAUCUUAUGGCCCUCCCCACCUUCCUCCGCCGCCGCUUCAAUCGCCUCCGCAUGGGCUUCUUCCUCCACACCCCCUUCCCCUCCUCCGAGAUCUACCGUACCCUCCCCGUCCGCGAGGAGAUCCUCAAGGCCCUCCUCAAUUGCGACCUCAUCGGCUUCCACACUUUCGACUACGCCCGACACUUCCUCUCCUGCUGCAGCCGCAUGCUCGGCAUCGAGUACCAAUCCAAGCGGGGAUACAUCGGUCUCGACUACUUCGGCCGCACCGUCGGCAUCAAGAUCAUGCCUGUCGGCGUCCACAUGGGCCAGCUCCGGUCCGUGCUCCGCCUUCCCGAUAAGGAGUGGCGGGUUAACCAGCUCCGCCAGCAGUUCGAGGGCAAGACCGUGCUUCUGGGCGUCGACGAUAUGGACAUCUUCAAGGGUAUCAACCUCAAGCUGCUCGCCUUCGAGCACAUGCUGAAGCUCCACCCAAAGUGGCAGGGCAGUGCGGUCCUCGUCCAGAUCGCCAAUCCCCCGAGGGGCCGAGGAAGGGACCUCAAAGAGAUCCAGGGCGAGAUCGAGGAGAGCUGCGAGCGAAUCAACAAGGCGUUUGGGCACGAGGGGUACAGCCCGGUGGUCUUCAUCGACCGCCCCGUCUCCGUGGUCGAGAGGAUCGCUUACUAUACCAUCGCGGAGUGCGUGGUGGUCACGGCGGUAAGGGAUGGGAUGAACCUCACACCCUACGAGUAUAUCGUGUGCAGGCAGGGAAUCGCCGAUUCUCAAGGUUCCCAAGCUGAUAGCCCGAGGAAUAGCAUGCUGGUGGUCUCAGAAUUCAUCGGCUGCUCGCCCUCGCUCAGCGGAGCCAUUCGGGUCAAUCCAUGGAACAUAGAGACCACAGGGGAGGCCAUGAAUGAGGCCAUCUCUCUUUCAGACGGUGAGAAACAGCUGCGGCAUGAGAAGCACUAUCGUUAUGUCAGCACUCAUGAUGUUGCGUAUUGGUCGAAGAGCUUCAUGCAAGACAUGGAGAGGACGUGCAAGGACCAUUUCAGAAGGAGGUGUUGGGGAAUUGGUUUGGGAUUCGGAUUCAGGGUGGUGGCGCUCGAGCCUAAUUUCAGGAAACUCCAUGUUGAUGGAAUCGUGUCUGCUUAUGUGAAAGCUAAGAGUAGGGCUAUCUUGCUGGAUUAUGACGGGACGUUGGUGCCACCGACAUCCAUGAACAAGAGGCCCAGUGCGGAUGUUAUCAGGAUCAUCAAUACCCUCUGUGCAGAUAAGAAGAAUGUAGUCUUUCUUGUCAGCGGAAGAGGUCGGGAAAGCUUAGAGACGUGGUUUUUGCCUUGUGAGAAGCUCGGAAUUGCAGCGGAACAUGGAUACUUUAUUAGGUGGAGUAGGGACAAAGAAUGGGAAACCCAUUGCCAGAACACUGAUUUUGGAUGGAUGCAGAUUGCUGAGCCAGUCAUGAAACUAUAUACAGAGUCCACUGAUGGAUCUUCGGUUGAAACCAAAGAAAGUGCCUUAGUUUGGCACCAUCAGGACGCAGACCCUGGCUUUGGUUCUGCUCAGGCAAAGGAAAUGCUCGAUCAUCUAGAAAGCGUGCUUGCAAAUGAACCAGUCUCAGUGAAGAGUGGCCAGUUUAUCAUUGAAGUCAAACCUCAGGGAGUCACCAAAGGUUUAGUGGCAGAGAAGAUUCUGUCCUCCAUGGUGGAGAAUGGUAGACAAGCUGAUUUUGUACUGUGCGUUGGCGAUGACAGGUCGGAUGAGGACAUGUUUGAAGACAUUGCUGGUGUAGUGACAAAGAAACUGGUAGCUCCUCACACAUCAAUAUUUGGUUGCACCGUCGGGCAGAAACCAAGUAAGGCGAGGUAUUAUCUGGACGACACAACUGACGUCAUAAACAUGCUCAGAGCACUUGCAGAUGCCUCCGAGCCAUCCUUAUCUUCUCCUGAGGAAAUACUGGAACCUAUGCCAUCCGCUGAGACCAAAAGUGAUUACUCCCAAUGACAGCAUUCUUCUGAUUGGUUUCCUCAUAUUCCAUUGGCACGGUAAAAGUAAAGCUUGAACAGCUCUCUGCUCUGCGAAAGAGAUCUUAUGCAAGCGGACAGCAUAUUAGGUUUGAUCAGACUGCUUGAUAGCGAUCCUCCCGAGCAUGUUCAUACGUCGAUCAGCAAUGAAGUAAGCUGCUGAGCGAUGCCGUCAAAACCCCCAGGGGAAGUUCUGCUGCUGGAUCGAGUGGAAACCAGUCUAGGAAGUGGAUAAUUACUGUUUGUCUCAAUAUUUUUUUGACAUGGAACUCUUGCGGUAGAACAAAAUCCGAUGAUUUGACAUGUUAACCAAGAUGAAUAUCACGGAACACACAGGAUUUAUUUAACUAAAGGCGGAUUCAACAGUGUUUGCUUCGUUGAUUUCUGAGAUGUUGGCCAAUGUGAAGUCCUCCAUUGGCCGAGUAUGAGUGCUGUCAUCUCCACCUGCUGCAGAAAAGAAGCGUCGUCUCUCCCUCUAUCUCUCUCUCUCUCUCUCUAUUCUCUUCCACAGUACUGAGAUGUGGCAGUUGAAGAAUCCAAAGGUGUCCUGCUAACUUUUAUUGGUUCGCUCUCUUUCACUUCAUCGGCGAAGAUGAAGUUUGCCUCCGUGACUCCACCUUUCAUCUUUGAACAGUAUAUAUAACCACUCUUACACAGACGCCAUGUGACGACUGCUGCAGGGAGAUAAUGAAAGGAGUUUGAGUUUUGAGCUCAUGACUUGCUCUGAUUCCAUGAUAGGGAUCUGAGUUAAAUGUUCUGAGCUCAAUCGAGUUGUAUCCACCUCAGCCACUUUACCCAAAGCAUAAGGCAAGCAACUGUUGGCACCAAAGGAAGCAGGUGGACCUGCAACCCCCCAUUGCUUCAGAGACAAAUUAGCAUGACUCUUAUCAUGGAACAUUGUUUUCUGCAUGCAAAACGUUUUUGGGGGAAGACGGUGA
This is an RNA transcript of Musa acuminata AAA Group (dessert banana), 3886 nucleotides long. It is a transcript of the gene named probable alpha,alpha-trehalose-phosphate synthase [UDP-forming] 7, with no coding region annotated. NCBI's taxonomy places the organism in Eukaryota, Viridiplantae, Streptophyta, Magnoliopsida, Zingiberales, Musaceae. The transcript is spliced from 5 exons. The record is from RefSeq and is a predicted model, not a curated record.